AGUGAACGCUGGCGGUAGGCCUAACACAUGCAAGUCGAACGGCAGCACAGUAAGAGCUUGCUCUUACGGGUGGCGAGUGGCGGACGGGUGAGGAAUACAUCGGAAUCUACUUUUUCGUGGGGGAUAACGUAGGGAAACUUACGCUAAUACCGCAUACGACCUACGGGUGAAAGCAGGGGAUCUUCGGACCUUGCGCGAUUGAAUGAGCCGAUGUCGGAUUAGCUAGUUGGCGGGGUAAAGGCCCACCAAGGCGACGAUCCGUAGCUGGUCUGAGAGGAUGAUCAGCCACACUGGAACUGAGACACGGUCCAGACUCCUACGGGAGGCAGCAGUGGGGAAUAUUGGACAAUGGGCGCAAGCCUGAUCCAGCCAUACCGCGUGAGUGAAGAAGGCCUUCGGGUUGUAAAGCCCUUUUGUUGGGGAAGAAAAGCAGCAGGUUAAUACCCCGCUGUUCUGACGGUACCCAAAGAAUAAGCACCGGCUAACUUCGUG
Molecule: ribosomal RNA, 492 nt
Filed under: uncultured bacterium
Lineage: Bacteria
Description: partial 16S ribosomal RNA
Rfam family: Bacterial small subunit ribosomal RNA
Source: RNAcentral